Molecule: ribosomal RNA, 490 nt
Filed under: uncultured bacterium
Lineage: Bacteria
Description: partial 16S ribosomal RNA
Rfam family: Bacterial small subunit ribosomal RNA
Source: RNAcentral
AUUGAACGCUGGCGGCAGGCCUAACACAUGCAAGUCGAACGGUAACAGGAAGAAGCUUGCUUCUUUGCUUACGAGUGGCGGACGGGUGAGUAAUGUCUGGGAAACUGCCUGAUGGAGGGGGAUAACUACUGGAAACGGUAGCUAAUACCGCAUAACGUCGCAAGACCAAAGAGGGGGACCUUCGGGCCUCUUGCCAUCGGAUGUGCCCAGAUGGGAUUAGCUAGUAGGUGGGGUAACGGCUCACCUAGGCGACGAUCCAUAGCUGGUCUGAGAGGAUGACCAGCCACACUGGAACUGAGACACGGUCCAGACUCCUACGGGAGGCAGCAGUGGGGAAUAUUGCACAAUGGGCGCAAGCCUGAUGCAGCAAUGCCGCGUGUAUGAAGAAGGCCUUCGGGUUGUAAAGUACUUUCAGCGGGGAGGAAGGGAGUAAAGUUAAUACCUUUGCUCAUUGACGUUACCCGCAGAAGAAGCACCGGCUAACUCCGUG